GUCAUCGUCAAUGUAAGCACCCCCUUCAUCGUCGACGCCAACAAUUGCUGCCUGUGAACAGAAAAUCCAAUGCCGCUGAACUCGCCUCCCUCUCCUACCACACUCCAUCAGGUUGAGAAUGUAAAUAGUUGUGUUCGUAUUUUAGCUACAUUUUUCUAUGUCUUCUUCUAAAAUGUUGAAUUUUUCAGCGGUCAUCAUCUUCUAAAGUUUUGUUUCUGGAUUUACCUUUACUUAUUUUGUAUUCUUCUAAAUUCCUUGUCACCAAUGUUGAAUGAUAUGAUGUGCAUAAUAUGAUUUUGUUAGGUAGAGUGUUGAAUUUUUUAGGAGUCGCCGUCUUCUGAAGUUUUGUUUCUGGAUUUAGGUUUUUUUUUUUUUUUUUUUUUUUUUUUGUAUUCUUUUGAAUUUAAUGUCCCCAUUGUUGAAUGAUAUGGUCUGAAUAAUAUGAUUUAUGGUUACAAAUUUGCACACAGAAUCAAUUCAUUUGUUAACGAGCUUAGGUUGUUGCUAAGGUUUUUCACAUGGAUAAUGAGGUUUAGGUUGUUGAUGUGGAAUUUUGCAACUGAGAUGAAUUCAUCUUUGUUUAUUUGUUUGUCCAGCCCGAAUCGACUGCAAUGAGAGGAAGGAAUUCAAAAGUUUGUCACGGUUGCAAAAGCAACACUCAUUACUUUACAAUGCAAAACAAAGAGCCAAUGCCCUUCGUGUAAACAUGGAUAUCGCAAGUGUUUUGAGGUUGAACGGGAUACUAGUAACAAAGGGCAAUUGUUCUUUACCUGUUGUAAUGAUUGUGGAUAUUUUAACUGGGUGAAAGAAGAAGCGGUGAAUUAUGAGUCCAACGUGGAAGAUUAAGAUUUGCCAAGACUCUUUGACGGUCUAGCUCGAAUUAGGGAGAAACGAGGUGUGGACAUAUCAAUGCACUUGAGCUUCAGCAAGGAAAAGGGCAUUGCGAAGUGCGAUGGGAAAGAAAAGGGUUUGACUUGAACGGUUUAUUUGAUGUAUGGGUAAUCUUAUCAAAAUUGGUCAUUGUACGAACGACUGUGUAUUGGAUUCGUCCUAAUAUAUGUCAUGGUUGCUAGAACCUUUACGAUAUACUUGUUCUCAUUUUUAUUUGUAAACAUCCCG
Molecule: long non-coding RNA, 1119 nt
Filed under: Olea europaea subsp. europaea
Lineage: Eukaryota; Viridiplantae; Streptophyta; Magnoliopsida; Lamiales; Oleaceae
Source: RNAcentral